CGCGCUGGUGACAGACUAUGAAGACUAGAGUUUAUCCGGUUAAAUUAUACAACAAUAUCAGGUUGUUUUCCAAUAUGAUGCUCUUCCUUGUAUUAACGUGUUGGAUUGGCUUUGCUGCUGGUGUUGAUAAAGAGGAUGAUGAGAUUGAGUCGCUAACCGUGACUUAAGGUGGAAACCUCACCAUAUCUGUUCACAUAGAGAAAUCGGACGAAGACCCUCAGGUUUUGGUGACUCGUCUCAAAGGCUCCUCGCAGGAACCGAUAGCGCAGGUAUUCUGUCAUAAUGGAGCCUGUGCUCAGAAGUGCUGGAGAUCCCAGAGUUAUAUUCUCAUAUCUGAUGGAGAGAAUAUAACUCUGAUCCUGAUGAACGUCAGCUACAAUCAAACGGGGCUUUACAAGGUCUGCAAACUGAGCAGUAGACAACCGCAAAACAAGAUCUACAAGCUUACAGUGUAUCAGCCUCCACUCAGGACCAUCAGCCCUGAACAACCAGCAUCUGCCGUGCACAGUAAAUCAUUUACUGCAGGCAUAAGCACAGCUGCAGUGGUCCUCGUUUUACUGGUCAUCAUUUGUGCUGUUAUUUGUGUCAUUUAUAGGAAACAUGGG
Sinocyclocheilus rhinocerous is the source of this 605-nucleotide long non-coding RNA. RefSeq lists it as uncharacterized. NCBI's taxonomy places the organism in Eukaryota, Metazoa, Chordata, Actinopteri, Cypriniformes, Cyprinidae. The transcript has 4 exons. The record is from RefSeq and is a predicted model, not a curated record.